UGAAUACGAGAUGCUACGGCGUCGAAGCAGUCUAUGUCAUACUUCCAAGAAAAGCUUGCACUGUCAUAAACAAAUAAUGCCUGUACCAUAACCGACACAGGUGGGUAGGUAGAGUAUACUAAGGGGCGCGAGAUAACUCUCUCUAAGGAACUCGGCAAAAUGACUCCGUAACUUCGGGAGAAGGAGUGCCUUAUUUAUAAGGUUGCAAUAACAAGAUCCAAGCAACUGUUUACCAAAAACACAGGUCUCCGCUAAGUCGUAAGACGAUGUAUGGGGGCUGACGCCUGCCCAGUGCCAGAAGGUUAAAGAAGUUGGUUAGCAUCCGCGAAGCUGAUAACUGAAGCCCUGGUGAACGGCGGCCGUAACAAUAACGGUCCUAAGGUAGCGAAAUUCCUUGUCGGGUAAGUUCCGACCCGCACGAAAGGCGUAAUGAUUUGGAUACUGUCUCGGAGAGGGGCUCGGUGAAAUAGACUUGUCUGUGAAGAUGCGGACUACCUGCACCAGGACAGAAAGACCCUAUGAAGCUUUACUGUAACCUGAAAUUGAAAUUGGACUUUACUUGCGCAGUAUAGGUGGGAGGCGUUGAGAAUAUUCUUGCGGGAUUAUUGGAGCCAUCAGUGAGAUACCACUCUUGUAAUGUUAGAUUUCUAACUUUGUAUCAUUAUCUGGUCAAAGAACAGUUUCAGGCGGGCAGUUUGACUGGGGCGGUCGCCUCCUAAACGGUAACGGAGGCGCACAAAGGUUUCCUCUGAACGGGUAGAAAUCGUAUCUAGAGUGUAAAGGCAUAAGGAAGCUUGACUGUGAGACCUAUAAGUCGAGCAGGGACGAAAGUCGGUCUUAGUGAUCUGACGGUGCUGAGUGGAAAGGCCGUCACUCAACGGAUAAAAGUUACUCUAGGAUAACAGGCUGAUCUCCCCCAAGAGUUCACAUCGACGGGGAGGUUUGGCACCUCGAUGUCGGCUCAUCGCAUCCUGGGGCGGUAGUACGUCCCAAGGGUUGGGCUGUUCGCCCAUGAAAGCGGUACGCGAGCUGGGUUCAGAACGUCGUGAGACAGUUCGGUCCAUAUCCGGUGUAGGCGUUAGAAUAUUGAGAGGAGCCUUCUUUAGUACGAGAGGACCGAGAAGGACAUACCUCUGGUGUACCAGUUAUCGUGCCAACGGUAAACGCUGGGUAGCUAUGUGUGGAGUGGAUAACCGCUGAAAGCAUCUAAGUGGGAAGCCCACCUCAAGAUAAGUA
Molecule: ribosomal RNA, 1236 nt
Filed under: metagenome
Description: bacterial LSU rRNA
Rfam family: Bacterial large subunit ribosomal RNA
Source: RNAcentral